Long non-coding RNA from Mastomys coucha (southern multimammate mouse), 241 nucleotides. RefSeq lists it as uncharacterized. The transcript has 3 exons. The record is from RefSeq and is a predicted model, not a curated record. NCBI's taxonomy places the organism in Eukaryota, Metazoa, Chordata, Mammalia, Rodentia, Muridae.
GUUCUUUCCAGUUUUCUGCCUGCUGCAUUCAGGACCACAGGGAGUGAGGAUUUCAGGUGGCCAACAAUUUCUUGCUUUACUAGAGAGAAGGUUUUAAGAUGGACAUGAGUCUUCGAUUCAUUUGAGUAAACACCAAGAAGAAUGAUUGAUGGAUCCUGUCCAUGACAAUUUGCUGCUGUUAAACUUUCUUCAAAAUUAGAAGAUGAAAGGAUGGAAUUUUUCCAGCAUCUUUUAAACUUCA